Long non-coding RNA from Lycium barbarum (goji berry), 2794 nucleotides. RefSeq lists it as uncharacterized. Lineage: Eukaryota; Viridiplantae; Streptophyta; Magnoliopsida; Solanales; Solanaceae. The record is from RefSeq and is a predicted model, not a curated record. The transcript has 4 exons.
UAUUUCUAUUCUAGAGUUAUUUAUGCCUCUUGCUGUUUUCUUAAUUGAUUCUGCAAUGCACGUUUUCUUUUUAAUAUUUGGGUGUUAAAUUUCUUGGUUCUGUCCAAAUUGCCUCUCAAAGAACAUUCUCUGAGGUGGCUGCAUUUGGGAGAGUUGAGAGAGUUGCACUAGGGAUAUUGUUCUGGGGAUUUUUCCCUCUUCUCCUUCGCCCUCUUGUGCUUUUGGCUCUUUUGUUAACUGAUUUUGCAUAUGCAUAUAUUUAUUCAUUGUUCUGUGUUAAUUUCGUAGCAGUCAAAUUUAUUAAGAUGAACGCAAUGAGAAUAGAGGAAGGCUCUGUGAAGUGUGAACAAAAUCUCCAAAGGGAAUGUGUGUCUAAUGCAUUGUGAGUCUGAUGGAUGGAUUUUGCAUUCGUCCUAGAUUCCACUGGGUUUACAUGAAGCUGUACAAUGGAGAAUACAACAAGUUACAGUUUAUCUACAAUCAAGCAUUUUCAUGGCUUUUGCAGCUGGUGUCGCUCUUAAUUCAUUAUCUUUUAAUGAGGGCGUGCGAGACAUUUUUCUAGAAAACUUAUUUGAAUUUGAAUCCUGCGGCAAGAAAGCUAAUGUUCAAUGCUGAUAGAGCAUGAAGCCAACUUUGUUGCUCUUGGUGGCUUAGCUGCAUUUCAUGAAAAAAGCUUGUCAUGCCUGUGAGAGAUAGAACUAAAGAAAAAAAAAAAAGGUUAACAGCUCAUAAUCUCUUGGGUAUAUUGUGUAACAUUGUAAUUCUUCUAGUGGGCUACAAGAUUUUGUUUGUAAGAACGAAAUCAUUCAUUUGACGAAAAUUGAUUGCUCAGAAUCAACAGGAAGAUGUAUAGUUCAUUUAGAAAUGCUUACAAUCGAAGCAUGACAGUGAUACUGGAAUCUAUGAUACUGAAGGAAGGUGCAUGCUUAAUUCUUUCCUUUUCCUUACUAGAUUUCUCUACCGAUUGACUUAUAUUGGUUAAUGAUUUUGUCAGACUUUGCUUACAAGUCUGGCUAAACUUAGAAACUUACAAAACCACCUUUUUUUGUGAAGGCUUGGUCAUGAAAUUUUUGAGUUGAUAUUUUAGGGAACAAGCACUGCCAAAGGGAAACCCCUUAACAACCCAAGAAUUGGAUGAACAUUAACUCAAGGCAAAAAUGGAGCCUAUAAACCCUUCGAUACAGACUGUUGCUUUAUCAGAGUGGAGUAAAUUCAUGCGCUAUAGCCGGUCAGACGCGUGCCCCGUGUUGUCAAUUAGUGCAGUGUACUGUCAAUCGGAGUUAUCAUACAGAAAAACGUCAUAACGCAUCUAAAAUUUGCGUUAUACAUCAACAUGAUUGACAACACAAUGCACGCGUUUGAUGCUAGCGAGUGUAAUAUAACGUAAUUGACGAAUAAGUACCAACCACACAAAAAUGAGUUAUUAUGUCAUUUUUUAACCAAUUUGGAGAUAUUAGUCGUAUUACAACGUUCUCUCCAGGAGAGAUAUUCGAAGCAAUAGGUAGGACAUGAUAAAUUGGGUGAAGAUUUUGAAUACUCGAAUAACCCAAACGAGAGAUACAAUCAACGUUACAACAAUAUGAUGACCGACGAGUGGAAUUGGCGUGUUAGGGAGAUUGCAGCACUGGAACAAAACUUGAGGUCAUUAGGGCUUCAACGCCCAAAAAAUCGUGAUUUGUCAAUGCCUCGUGACACUCCACAAAAGUUGAAUUUUGCUCUUAACCGCUUUCGUGAAGAGAAUAAUCGGAUGAAAAUAUGUUGCCUCAAGGUAAAAUAUGGUCAACAUGGUUACAUCAGAUUCAAAUCCAAGUGGGAUUCAGAUUGUGAGAUGUCCGAUUAUGAUGAUUCCCCAUGAUAUUAGUAAUAGUUGUAUUGUAUUAAAUAAAGUUGGUGGGAUCAUAGUCAUGAUCUCACAACCUAUUGAGUUUGCUACUUAGUAUCCUCUUAAAAUUCAAUGUGGAAUAGUAGAAAUAUAAAUUGGUCGGUAUUUUUUCCACUGGAUUCGAAUAGCCGUGGUGAUGACAACUCAAAUCAAAGCAUCUAUUCCGUUGAUUCCUCAACCGAUAACAGUGAAUUCGUGCUAGACGAUUUCAAGCUCCAUCUUGUAAUGGAGCGUAAUAACGAUUUUCGCAAGCUGAAAUAUUCAGAUCCACAUGAAUAUUAUUGUGGUUUACGUCGCGAAUGUCCCGAAUCACGUCUUGUUCGUAACUUGAAAAAUUUCAACUCUCAACUCUCAAAUCCCAAUAAGGUUCUCAAUAACCAUGCCUCGAGUAGGUGCACACACUUGCGACCUUGCCGUACAAAGGAUUAGAAAAGAAAACAACAGAAUGCUAGCAAGACAUUGUAGGUUUCACAUGCUAAAGUUGGCCGAAGAACAAACAUCAUCAACCGGUAGGGAACAAACAUCGACAAGAAGAAGAUCUGUCUUAACAAACCUAGGAUAUUCAUCUGAGGACGAUAUUGAAGACUUCAAUUCUUAUGAUGAUUAAGAAUAUUGUGAUUUUAGUUAUAUGUUUAAUUUAUGAUGAUGUUGUUAAUUUGAAGAAUAUUAGUAUGUUUAGUUUUACAUCAACUCAAGGGUAUGAAUUGAUGAAUGUAUUUUAAGUUUUUUUUUUUCUUUGAUGAUUGUAUUUUAACAAGUUUGGAUUUGUUAUUAAUGAACAAGUUUAAGCAUUUUCAUAUUAUUAUGAAUGAUGCAAUUUAGUUAUUUUGAGAUUGGUAUGAAUGAUGCAAUUUUGAUUAAAAUAUAACACACUUAAAUCUAAACCCUAAAACGUAAAUAACUUAAAGCUAA